RNAcentral lists this ribosomal RNA (301 nucleotides) under uncultured bacterium. RNAcentral's name for it is "partial 16S ribosomal RNA". It matches the Rfam family "Bacterial small subunit ribosomal RNA", at positions 509 to 807 of the family's 1533-position model. The record is from RNAcentral.
CAGUCGCCACGGUAAAACGUAGGGUGCGAGCGUUAAUCGGAAUUACUGGGCGUAAAGGGCGCGUAGGCGGCCAUUCAAGUUAGAUGUGAAAGCCCUGGGCUCAACCUAGGAAUUGCAUUUGAUACUGUUUGGCUUGAGUUCGGGAGAGGUGAGUGGAAUUCCCAGUGUAGAGGUGAAAUUCGUAGAUAUUGGGAAGAACACCAGUGGCGAAGGCGGCUCACUGGACCGACACUGACGCUGAGGCGCGAAAGCGUGGGGAGCAAACAGGAUUAGAUACCCCCGUAGUCCCUGUCUCUUAUAC